This 458-nucleotide ribosomal RNA is filed under the name uncultured bacterium. Its description in RNAcentral is "partial 16S ribosomal RNA". It matches the Rfam family "Bacterial small subunit ribosomal RNA", at positions 338 to 795 of the family's 1533-position model. The record is from RNAcentral.
CCUACGGGAGGCAGCAGUGAGGAAUAUUGGUCAAUGGGCGAGAGCCUGAACCAGCCAAGUCGCGUGAGGGAGUACUGCCCUAUGGGUUGUAAACCUCUUUUGUCGGGGAGCAAAAGCCGGACGUUUCCGGCUGUGAGCGUACCCGAAGAAAAAGCGUCGGCCAACUCCGUGCCAGCAGCCGCGGUUAUACGGGGGAUGCGGUCGGUAUCCGGAUUUAUUGGGGUUAAAGGGUGCGCAAGGGGAUUUUUAAGUCAGCGGUCAAAUCGUGGGGCCCAACCCCAUCCAGCCGGUGAAACUGGGGAUCUAGAGGGUGAGAGAGGUAUGCGGAAUGCGUGGUGUAGCGGUGAAAUGCAUAGAUAUCACGCAGAACCCCGAUUGCGAAGGCAGCAUGCCGGUGCACAACUGACGCUCAGGCACGAAAGCGUGGGUAUCGAACAGGAUUAGAUACCCGUGUAGUC